Molecule: long non-coding RNA, 432 nt
Organism: Beta vulgaris subsp. vulgaris (sugar beet)
Lineage: Eukaryota; Viridiplantae; Streptophyta; Magnoliopsida; Caryophyllales; Amaranthaceae
Exons: 3
Source: RefSeq, a predicted model, not a curated record
ACUACUAGGCAAGCUUCAUAAAUUAGAAAGAGAUGAAUUUUGGCUUUUCUCACAAAAUAGCAAUCUGAUGUAUAUGAGAGAAGGAUAGGAAGACGAAGAGAGCGAAAGUUCGACCUCGCACCUCUUUAAACUUUCAGCGAAAUCGGCACACCAAGUGUUUGUGGAAAGCUCUAAGAGAGAGAAACUUGAAGUCAGAAGGUAGAAGAAGCUCAUGAAUCUGUAAACCAUUGUGAAUGAUGAACCAACUGGAGGAGAUCAAACGUAGACGUCUCACUAUACAUACUAUCGGCCAGAUUUAGUUAGCUAUAUUAUAGUGAUCCGGUACUUGGUGGUUAGAAGGAAAAUGAUCUAUAUGUACUUAUUAGAAGUAUUUGUGGUACUAAAACAAAUAUUUAUUAGUUGGGUUUGAUUAAGUACAUUAAUUAUCAUUAA